This 468-nucleotide ribosomal RNA is filed under the name uncultured bacterium. Its description in RNAcentral is "partial 16S ribosomal RNA". It matches the Rfam family "Bacterial small subunit ribosomal RNA", at positions 28 to 507 of the family's 1533-position model. The record is from RNAcentral.
GAUGAACGCUGGCGGCGUGCUUAACACAUGCAAGUCGAACGGAAAGGCCCAAGCUUGCUUGGGUACUCGAGUGGCGAACGGGUGAGUAACACGUGGGUGAUCUGCCCUGCACUUCGGGAUAAGCCUGGGAAACUGGGUCUAAUACCGGAUAGGACGAUGGUUUGGAUGCCAUUGUGGAAAGUUUUUUCGGUGUGGGAUGAGCUCGCGGCCUAUCAGCUUGUUGGUGGGGUAAUGGCCUACCAAGGCGUCGACGGGUAGCCGGCCUGAGAGGGUGUACGGCCACAUUGGGACUGAGAUACGGCCCAGACCCCUACGGGAGGCAGCAGUGGGGAAUAUUGCACAAUGGGCGCAAGCCUGAUGCAGCGACGCCGCGUGGGGGAUGACGGCCUUCGGGUUGUAAACUCCUGUCGCUAGGGACGAAGCGUUUUUGUGACGGUACCUGGAGAAGAAGCACCGGCUAACUACGUG